Unclassified non-coding RNA from Fukomys damarensis (Damara mole-rat), 208 nucleotides. NCBI's taxonomy places the organism in Eukaryota, Metazoa, Chordata, Mammalia, Rodentia, Bathyergidae. The record is from Ensembl.
UUGAGAAAAAGUGGCUGGAGAAACACAUCUCUCCAGCCACAGACUAUUUCUCCCCUGGGGCAGAUUUUUCAAGCUACCCUCCUCUGUGUUCACCUCCUCCUUCUUGUCUGGACCCAUCAGCCUCCCAGCCCAGUUCCUGGGCAGCCCAGGCACUGAGGAAAACAGGACCCCACAGUAAGAUGAGCACAGCCCUGUUGAAUGGGAAAGA